This 253-nucleotide ribosomal RNA is filed under the name uncultured bacterium. RNAcentral's name for it is "partial 16S ribosomal RNA". It matches the Rfam family "Bacterial small subunit ribosomal RNA", at positions 524 to 776 of the family's 1533-position model. The record is from RNAcentral.
UACGUAGGGGGCAAGCGUUGUCCGGAAUCAUUGGGCGUAAAGAGCGUGUAGGCGGCCCGAUAAGUCCGCUGUGAAAGUCCAGGGCUCAACCCUGGGAUGCCGGUGGAUACUGUCGGGCUCGAAUCCGGAAGAGGAGUGUGGAAUUCCUGGUGUAGCGGUGAAAUGCGCAGAUAUCAGGAGGAACACCAAUGGCGAAGGCAGCACUCUGGGACGUGACUGACGCUGAGACGCGAAAGCGUGGGGAGCAAACAGG